UAAGAUGUUUUCAUUUCCUAGUCCUAAACAGCACCACGAUAUCAUGGUUCAUUCCUUCAAAACUCAUUAUAAACAAAGUAGCAGAUUUCAUAGAUUAUUUCAUAGUUCAUCGACCCUGAGGAGCAUUUAUGCCCUUGGCAUAUACAUAAUACAUUGACAACAGUGUACUACUAGUCCAAAUGACAGCUUUAACCAAACCUAUCGAUGGUUCAACUUUCUUAACUAUCAGAGAAAUAUUUAAAGCCAACUAAUCAAAAUUUUCUCAACGCUUGAUAGUACAACUAAUUUGGGGGGAAAUGGUUAUAUGUCCCCACAAAUGAUAUGUGCAAUCUUUGCGGGAUGUCAGAAUUUCAAUGGUUACUCUCAUUGAGAAGAGGAUGGCACAAAGGAUGGGGCAAUUUUCCGGUUUUCUUCAUUCACAAACUCAAAGCCAUACCUAUCCGAGGGAGGUUGGAUACAUAUAUAUAGCCAUAGCUGGCUGCAAGCCUAUUGCUGCACCCUCCUAGUCUAAAAUUCGAAAUUUGAAUGGGAUGAUGUCCUAGAGGGCAUCCAAACUGAAUAAAGCAUAAAGGAGGCAUAAAGAAGAUGCUAACUGCUGCUGUCCUGCUAACCGCAGCUGUCCUAGCAACUGAAAAUAUGCUAAAGGAGCAGAUGCUGUCCUGAAAAGGUGAAACUACCUAAAAGAAAAGGAAGAACCACGACCAAGGACCACAAAGACUUAUCCAUCAUUCUCCCCUAAGUCUUGUGCGUCGUCUUGUGGGGAAGUUGGGCCAUCCCGAUCCUGGAGCAGAGCUCGAGGAACUUGAUCCUCCCAAGAGGCUUGGUGAGCAAGUCCGCAAGCUGGUCCUUGGUGUUGAUGUAGCUCGCGUUGAUGCUCCCUUCCUCCAAGUAGCCUCGGAUGAAGUGGUACCUCACCCGGAUGUGCUUGCUCCGUUCGUGAAAAACAGGGUUCUUUGCCAUGGCCAGGGCGGACUUGCUAUCCAACCUGAGCUCCACCGCUCCAGUGUCUCUGCCGAGGAGAUCACUAAGCAGUCGAGCAAGCCAGAGCGCCUGGGUCAAAGCGGCGGAGGCCGCCAUGUACUCGGCCUCGCGGCUGGAUAGGGCCACCACCUGCUGCUUGACCGACUGCCAGCUAACGAGGCACUCGCCGUGGAAGAAGAGAAUCCCGCUUGUGCUCUUGCUGGUGUCGAUGUCGCCAGCGUGGUCGCUGUACCCAACGAAGUGUGCCUUGCUAGGACACCUCGGGUAGUAGAGACCGUGGUCGAGAGUCCCCGCAACAUAGCGAAUGAUCCUCUUCACAGCCUGCUGGUGCUCCGUCGUCGGUCGCUGCAUGAACCGAUUGACGUAGCCGACGGAGAAGGCCAAGUCCAGCCGUGUGUGGGUGAGGUAGCAGGCUCCCCACAAGACGCCAGUAUUGUGUAGCAUCCACUUCCUCCGUCGUGCUAUCGCGGCUCAGCUUCAGUCUCUCCUCCAUCGGAGUGAGAGCUGGGUUGCAAUCGGUGAGCCCAGCCAGCUCAACGACGCGCUUGGCGUAGGCGGUCUGUCGAAGCGUGAUCCCGGAGUCGUCCUGGUGCACCACAAUCCCCAGGUAGAAAGAGAGGCCAUAGAUCACUCAUCUGGAAGGUGGCCUUCAUCUCCUCCUUGAACGCCGCGACCUCCGCAUCCUUGGUGCCGGUGAUCACAAAGUCGUCGACGUAGACACCUACCAGCAAGGCAUUUUCUCCAUUGCCCCGCCGGUAGAUGGCCGCCUCGUGCGGGCUUUGCUCGAAGCCCAUCCACUUGAGCGUGGAAUCCAACUUGGCAUUCCACGCCCUCGGUGAUGGAUAAGUCUUUGUGGUCCUUGGUCGUGGUUCUCCACGAGCGGGAUUAUCUUCUUCCUCGGCGAGUGCCUCGUUAGCUGGCAGUCGGUCAAGCAGCAGGUGGUGGCCCUGUCCAGCUGCGAGGCCGAGUACAUGGCGGCCUCCGCCGCUUCGACCCAGGCGCUCUGGCUUGCUCGACUGCUUAGUGAUCUCCUCGGCAGAGACACUGGAGCGGUGGAGCUUAGGGUAGAUAGCAAGUCCGCCCUGGCCAUGGCAAAGAACAUCGUUUUUCACGAACGGAGCAACCACAUCCGGGUGAGGUACCACUUCAUCCGAGGCUACUUGGAAGGGAGCAUCAAGGCGAGCUACAUCAACACCAAGGACCAGCUUGCGGACUUGCUCACCAAGCCUCUUGGGAGGAUCAAGUUCCUCGAGCUCUACUCCAGGAUCGGGAUGGCCCAACUUCCCCACAAGACGACGCACAAGACUUAGGGGGAGAAUGAUGGAUAAGUCUUUGUGGUCCUUGGUCGUGGUUCUUCCUUUUCUUUUGAGUAGUUUCACCUUUUCAGGACAGCAUCUACUUCUUUAGCAUAUUUUCAGUUGCUAGGACAGCUGCGGUUAGUAGGACAGCAGCAGUUAGCAUCUUCUUUAUACCUCCUUUAUGCUUUAUUCAAUUUGGAUGCCCUCUAGGACAGCAUCCCAUUCAAAUUUCGAAUUUUAGACUAGGAGAGUGCAGCGAUAGGCUUGCAGCCAGCUAUGGCUAUAUAUAUAUGUAUCCAACCUCUCUCGGGUAGGUAUGGCUUUGAGUUUGUGAAUGAAGAAAACUGGAAAAUUGCCCCAUCCUGAGUGCCAUCCUCUUCUCAAUGAGAGUAACCAUUGAAAUUCUAACACUCGGUGCCUGCCGCAAGCUGUAGAGAGCCUUGUGCAAGCGUAGCACCUUGCAUUCCUUGCCGGGGAUCACAAAUCCCGGCGGCUGGUGCACGUAGACCUCCUCAAGUCGCCGUUCAGAAACACCGACUUGACGUCCAUGUGAUGGACGCCCCAGCCUUCCUGAGCAGCCAGCGCAAGGAGUCGCACGGACUCCAUCCGUGCCACGGGAGCGAAGGCAUCGUCAUAGUCGAUCCCCUCCUGCUGCACGAAACCGCGUGCCACCAAGCGAGCCUUUUGCUUGACGAUGGCUCCGGCUUCAUCCUCUUCAGCUUGAACACCCACUUAAGGGUGAUCGCACGGUGACCACGAGGGAGGUCAGCAAGCUCCCAGGUGCGGUUCUCCUGAACCGCGUCCAUCUCCGACGGCAUCGCGGCACGCCAUGCCGCGUGUUUCUCGGCCUCUGCGAAAGACCGAGGCUCACCGUCGUCGCACGCAAGGUGCAACUGCGCCUCCAGGUCGCGAGGCACCAGUCCCGGCACCGGCUGGUCGCCGAGAAGAUCCUCCAUCGUACGGCACCGUAGCUGCUCGCCGUCGUGGUACGCAUCGAUGCACUCCCCGUCGUGGGAGAGCGGAGUAGCGAACUCCACCGGGCUGCACUCAACACGAGCUGGCGUCGGAGUAGACGUGCCCGGAGGAGUGGCUGUUGGUGCUGGAGCGCGUGGUGUCGCCGGCUGUGGUGGUGUCGGCGAAGAGCUCGUCGUAGUCGAAGUCGUGGCCCGAGGGUGUGUUAGUGUCGGAGUUCGGUGGAGGCUCGGGAACUGGGGUAGACACGCUCGGUGAAGAAGAGCUGCCUGCUCCCCUAGCUCCCUCGAAGUGGACGUACUCGACGGUGAAGUCGUCGUACGUCGGAGUCGAACCAUCGUCCACUGCCUUGUCCCAUACCCACCCUCGCCCUUCGUAGAACACUACGUCGCGCGCUGUGCGCACACGCUAUCUCCGGGUCGAGGAUGCGGUAGGCCUUCGAGCCCUCCGCGUAGCCGAUGAACACCCCUGGGGUGCUCCUGUCGUCGAGCUUGCCGAUGUGGCCAAGCUCCUUGACGAACACGAGGCAGCCGAAGAUCCGUAGGUGGGAGACUGCCAGCUUGCGCCCAUGCCAAGCCUCGUAUAGUGUCCUGCCAUCAAGGGCCUUAGUAGGCAAGCGGUUGAGGAUGUAGACGGCCGUCACCACCGCCUCUCCCCAGAAGAUGGCCGGCAUCCCUCUCUGCUUGAGAGCCCGAGCCAUCCCCACAACCAUCUGGUUGCGCCACUCGACGACGCCGUUCUGCUGCGGGCUGUACAGCACAGUGUAGUGGCGCUGAAUGCCCUCAUCAGCGCAGUACAACGCGAAUUCAGCGGCCGUGAAUUCGCCGCCGUUGUCGGUGCGUAGCACGCGCAGCUUGCAGCCGCACUCCACCUCUGCAGCAGCCUGUGCGCGCCUGAUGGCGUCUGCAGCCUCUCCCUUGCUGCCGAGGACCAUCACCCACAUGUAGCGGGAGAGGUCGUCGACAAGCAGCAGGAAGUAACGUCGUCCUCCUGGUGUGGCCGGUGUCACUGGGCCACACAAGUCCCCGUGCACGAGCUCGAGCCGCUCCUUGGCUCGGAAACUCGUCUGCUGGGGAAAGGGGAGCCGCCUCUGCUUCGUUAGGACGCAGACGUCGCAGAGCUGCUCCACGUGGUCAAGGCACGGCAGGCCUCGCACCAUCUCCUUGGCGCUGAGCCGCUUCAGGGCCUCAAAGUGGAGGUGCCCGAAACGCUCGUGCCUCUGCCACGCCUCGUCCCGACGAGCGGCGAGGCAAACUGGUUGUGCGACCUGCGCACUGAGGAUGUAGAGUCGAUUAGUGCCUCUGGUUACCAAGAAGGUGACGGCGGCGAUCCCAAAUCCUCAUGACUCCGUGCUCGACCAACACGCGUGAGCCGUUCUCAUCCAGCUGCCCCACGCUGAUGAUAGAGUUCCUCAACACGGGGAUGUAGUAGACUCCGGUGAGCAGCCUGUGCUCACCGGACUUGGCGGUGAAGGUGACGGAGCCGACGCCCUUGAUCUCCACGCGGGAGGCGUCCCUAAACUUGACGGAGCCUCGGACGCUAGGGUCAAGCUCGGUGAAGAACUCCCGUCGGCCGGUCAUGUGAUGGGUGGAGCCGGUGUCGAGGUACCACCCAUCACCCUUGUCGUUGCUGGAGCCGUUGCAGAGGGAGACGAGUACCUUCGGCUCAUCAAGGUGGAGGAAAGCCUCUGCGGCCGGUGCCGCUGGAGGUAGCUCGAUGCUUGCGUGUGCCAGGAGCAGAGCCGGCUCUUCCUCCACCUGUGCGACGUGGACCUGGCCACGUCGUGGCUGUCAAGAGUCUUUGGCCCAAUGGCCAAGCUUGCCACAGUUGCGGCAGGUGUCGUCUCGUGUCGGCUUGUGGUUGCCGGCGGCGGCGCCCUGGGCACCUCUGCGAGCACCACCCUCGGCGCGUCUUCGCGGCCACCGCAGCUGGACACCUCCACGCGCCUUGCGCGGCUUGCGGCCGCCUGUCGAGGGAGAAGACUCCCCCUUCCUCCCGUCACUCUGAGAGGCAUCCCACUGCUCCCGAGUGAGAUGGAGCUUCCCGCCGAUGGUGAUAGGCCCCAAGAGAGGUUGUGGCUCAUCACCAUCGACGACCUUGAGGCGACCUAACGCCUCCUUGAUCGACAUCGUGGAGAGGUCCAGCAGACUCGAUCGAGCGAGCGAUCUGCCUAUACUUCUCUGGGACGCAACGGAAGAGCUUCUCGACAGUUCUCUCCUCAUCGUAGGAGUCGUCGUCGUACUGCACCAUCUUCUGCAAAAGAGUGUUGAGACGGAGGGCAAAGUCAUCAACAUCCUCACCUGGCUUGAAGACCAGGUUCUCCCACUCCUUGCGGAGUGCCUGCAGUGUGGACUUGCGGGCGCGGGCGCUGCCGAUGCGUGCCGCAUCGAUGGCGUCCUAGGCCUCCUUGGCAGUCCGCUUCUAGGAAAGCGAGAACCGCAUCUCGGGAGGGACUGCGGUGAUGAGGGCAUCCAGUGCCCGCCGAUCUUCGUCGUAGUCGACGUCGCCGUACCGGACUGCCUCCCACAUGUGCCGCACCUGGAGCCUCACCCUCAUCACCGCGGCCCACUCGAUGUAGUUGGUUUUGGUGAGGGUAGGCCACCCACCGCCGGGACCAAAGUCCCUGACCACCGUUUGGACACCGUGGUAGCCAUAGCGCCGGUCAGGGGAGGGAGAGUCGCACUGCCUGCGAUGGCCGCGCUCUCCGUCGAACCAGCCACCUCCACCGGGAGCGCCGCCGCCACGCGCGCGCUCCGGGCUGCCGCCGGCACUCCCGCGCCCAUCUGGGUUCCCGUCGACAGGCGCGCGGUCCCUUGGGCCGCCGCCGCCGCCGUGGGGGUGGGCUGCUGCCCACCGCUCUGCCCGCUCCCGCGCCCUUCCUCUUGCCAGCUCCUCAAGCUCCCUGUCGGCGGUGAUGUCGCUGGCGAUGGAGCCGUUGAUGCUGCUGCGCAAGGUCUCAACCUCUACCUCCGCCGCACGUGCCACAUCUUCCGCCGCCUCUGCUUCCGCCUCCACCCUGGCUGCUGCCAACUCCGCUACCGCCAGUCUGGCCGCCCUCCCUGCUGCUGCUACGGUCUGAGCCGUUGCUCGCCUGCGCUUUUCUGUUGCGGCGAGCUCGGCGUCUUGCUGACGCCGAGUGCUCGAUGCGACCGAACGCCGAGACCGAACGUCCGACAUGGCGCGCCUCCGGGGGGCUGCUGCGUGGAGAGGGGGAAGGGAAAGGGGAAGGAGUAGCCGGUGCUGCUCCUGCUGGCUGAGAGCUCAACCGAGCUUGGGAAGGGGUGGAACAAGAGAUGUUUAGCCUACAGGAAAGUGUGGCUCUGAUACCAGAUGUUAGAAUUUCAAUGAUUACUCUCAUUGAGAAGAGGAUGGCACUCAGGAUGGGGGCAAUUUUCCGGUUUUCUUCAUUCACAAACUCAAAGCCAUACCUACCCGAGGGAGGUUGGAUACAUAUAUAUAGCCAUAGCUGGCUGCAAGCCUAUUGUUGCACCCUCCUCGUCUAAAAUUCGAAAUUUGAAUGGGAUGUUGUCCUAGAGGGCAUCCAAACUGAAUAAAGCAUAAAGGAGGCAUAAAGGAGAUGCUAACUGCUGUUGUCCUACUAACCGCAGCUGUCCUAGCAACUGAAAAUAUGCUAAAGGAGUAGAUGCUGUCCUGAAAAGGUGAAACUACCCAAAAGAAAAGGAAGAACCACGACCAAGGACCACAAAGACUUAUCCAUCACGGGAAGCAUAUAGCUGAAUCCCCAUUUUUAAGAGAUAAACAGCAAUUUUCAGAACUCAAUCAGUUCAACUAGAUUAACAGUUUUACAUGUAAGAAUUCAGCAUUCACAAAGUUUUGCUAGCCCAUGAUUAUUGUUUUUCAGAUAAUAAAAUACAUGCAUAAGAAUUUCUGACACAAAAUGCUAUGGAUUUGACAUAGGAUAGGGAAGACUGGGGGAUAGGGCACCCCGCUCUCUACGAGGGCCAGAAGAGCUUCUCCCCAUCAUGAUAGAGGCUAUGAGGAAUACUGAAUUAAACUUUGUAGAUUCAUUGCUUAUUUCAUAAUGGAUUGCAUGGGCCCUUUUAUAGGGAGGAUGUCAGUGCUACAUAAACCAUAAAUUGUCACUCGGGAAUGCUUCCUAGUAAACCAUAUAUUUAACUUCCCUAACUAACAGUGAGGAUAUGUCAUAGGUAGGGGCCGAGGGGUCGAGGCCCAUGGGCCCAACCCCUGGCGAGUGAACAGUACCCGCGGUACUGUAGCAGUAGGUUGGGUGAUAGGAUAGGAUUAAGAAAUAGAUAAAUCUAGAUUAGAUCAAGUUAGUUACCUAGGGGUUAAGUUUCUCCAUCUAUAUAAGGAUGGGACUAUAUCGUUAUUCUAAUUAAGCAAUGAAUCAAGAUUAGUCUCCCCUAACCUAAGUCCCCCUCUCAUCCCUAGCAGCCGUCACCGCCCGGCUAUCCUCCCAGUGGUGUUUAUCACCUAUGAACCAUAACCCAUAAUAGGAUAACAAUAAACUAAUUCAUAUGCACUAAUCCCAAUGUAACACAAACUAACAAGAUUGAUGGCCUUAAAGUAACGAAGUAUUUAAGCAAGUUACAGUACUGAAAUAAAAAGCAAUAAGCAAUGCUACUAGGUGGACAUAACUAUCAUCCUGUAUAUAUGUGAGCAAGUGUCCAACCUAAGGAAUAUUCCAAUUAGACUACAAAGAUUUGAGUCAGUGAUAUCAAACUUCAAACCUCCCUUAAUUAUUACAUUUCUCAUGUUCCUAGAAUGCAAAUGAGAGAACCAAAAAAAAGCUUGCAUGCAAAUUACAGCAAAGAGAGAGAUAGAGAGAGAGACAGACACACACACACACACAUAGAGACAGAGAGAGAGAGAGAGAGAGAGUCAGGUGUUAAUCCAUGCCAACUGUUCCAAACGAAAAGAGUCAGCAGCAGAGGCUCAAAGGGCGGUGGUGGCUGGCACUAUGGUUUGAGAGAUAAGCGUGCAGUGAUGUGCAGUAGCCCUGGCGGUGGGAAGUGGUGGACAGCUGGAUAUUGGGCUGCCUCUUUUCCUUUAUUUUUUUCUCUCUUGCAUUUAUAAAUAGCACCAUAAUUUAUUCAACGACCAAGGCUCAUUGGCACGGAUUUAUUUGGGUUGCCUCCGGUAUCCCAGGCUAUCAUCACAAAGAAUACUACUCUAGUUUGACCCAAAGUUUUAGCCACCCAUAACCCAAAUCCCUCAAACCCAUUCCUCAACCCAGGUUCCUGGUGCUGGUGGCUUUGAUCUAUCUGCUCUGCGAACUGUAGUUGCGCAAUAAUCUAUUUAACUCACGAGAUAUGCAAAGAGAAGUGCAAUAUUGAUAGUCCCCCAAAAACACGAAAGUUACAAAUACAAACAUCAUGUCUAGUCCCAUUUCACAAUCAUGCAUAUAAAAUGUAAAUAACCCGAUAAAACAGGAACUUUCUUAUAAAAAGAAGUAUACUGACCUACUAAUAAUAACAAAGUAGGAUAUCUCUACACAGAUGUAGGGUAGAUAGCACAUAUAAAGUCACAUGGUUCUAUCAAAUUAGAACUUAC
This 8786-nucleotide long non-coding RNA is filed under the name Oryza sativa (Asian cultivated rice). RNAcentral describes it as "long non-coding RNA (OSAT_LNC000559)". Lineage: Eukaryota; Viridiplantae; Streptophyta; Magnoliopsida; Poales; Poaceae. The record is from RNAcentral.